AGUAGACAUAGUGUAUUGACUUAGUGCAUUAUUGUAUUUUGAAAGUGAAUGCUGGAGUUUAGUUUUCAAUGUGUGAAUUUGAGCAUGAAAUGAACUGUUUUGUCAAUUGCGUGUUGUAGGUGUGUUGGUGCGUUAAGCGUUUAGGAAAGUUGUUAA
Long non-coding RNA from Etheostoma cragini (Arkansas darter), 156 nucleotides. RefSeq lists it as uncharacterized. The record is from RefSeq and is a predicted model, not a curated record. NCBI's taxonomy places the organism in Eukaryota, Metazoa, Chordata, Actinopteri, Perciformes, Percidae. The transcript has 3 exons.